CACACACACACAAUCAACAACAAAAAAAAUCAAGAUAAUGUGCUAUGUGUGAGAUGAAGGGGUAGUGAAUGGAGAGCUGUUGGGUAAAAAGCAGCAUGUGUCAGCCACAUAGAAGGUGAGUUGUCAUGGUCCCUUACUGCAUGUGGCAUCCCUGUGAAUGUGGAAAUCACCUGUGCCACCCGAUGCUGGUAUAGCAGAUUGGAGACUGUCAUGUCCCAAAUUCUGGGGUUGUUGGUGAUAUGAUUUUCUGAAGGGGUGAGCUACAACUGGUGAUGUUCCAAGCAAAAUAAAAUCAACUUUCUCUUUACUAGACAUGAUAGACAUGCAUUCCUAAAGAAUUCUGCUACAUAAAAACACACUUUGCACAUGGUAUAAGAAAGGAGAAACCUUGACUGCUUCGUGGAAAAUCUCUGAAUAUUUGAGUUGUAUAAACCAUUUUCCUCAAUGACUAGAACAUACCACCUGCUUUUCAGGAUGUAUGAACUCCAAGGUCCUGCACACAAAAACCCAACAACACAGGUUUAGGAACUGUGACGAUGCAAAUGUGCCCUUGUAUUUUCAACACAUCUUUUGAGGGUACUAAUCUUGUCAUUGAGAAGAGCUUGCGUAGAGAUCUAGCCUCACCCAUACUGCCCCAGACAUUGCUGGAUGUGACCAUGCCUUUGAUUAAGGGCACUGGAUAACCAGUGGAGGACCUUUAUGAGAUUCAUGGGAUACCAGGUUUCUGGCUUAAUUUUGUUUUUCAAAGCAACCAUUUUCUGUGGGAAUCUGUUAGGAUCUUCUGGAAUCAAAAGAGUGGGCUUGAGUUCUGUAUCUAAAGUGGGAGAAAGCAAGACUAUUGGACCCUUCACCAGUGAGGAAGUACGUGGGCCUUUUGUGAUCUAUCAGAGGUGAGUGGGCCAUGGAAAGAGAGCCUGAACUUUCUGUUCUUCUGUCCUGUCCUGUCACGUUUCAGAGUGUAGAGUGGGGAGUUGGAGCGAUCUAGGAUUAAAUCCUAUUUUUGCUUUCUAGUUGCUGUGUGACCUUGGACAGCUUACUCAGUGUUUUGAGCCCAAACACUAAAAUGAGGAUUGACCUAUUGUGUUAGUCUACUACUAUAGUGAAAUAGAUUAGGUAAGUUAUGGAAAACAGAAAUCUAUUGCUGACAAUUCUGGAAGCUGAGACGUCCAAGAUGGAGCUACCAGCAGCUUCCGUGUCUGGGCAUGGGGCUGUUGCUCCUAGAUAGUGCUUUUUGAGUGUCCUCAACAUAGUGUGUGCAUGGGGGGUACUCACAAGUUCUUUUGGGCCUCUGUUUUAAGGGCAUAAUCACAUGUAUGAGCACUGAGCCCUCGGACUUAAUCAUUUCUCAGAUGCCCUACUUAAUAGUAUUGCUUUGAGGAUUAUGUUUCAACAUAGGAGUUUUGGAAGAACAUAGACAUUCAUACCACAAUAUCUACUUGGAAGAUCAGCAGUAAAGAAUAUCUUAACAAAGAGCUUUGCAUGGUUCCAAGCACAUGGUAAAAUCUUACUCCAUUUAACUGUUGUUGCUUGCGGUAGGUAAUACAGUUGUCUUUCAUGGAUUUAUUUCUGUGGGAAAGGGCCUUAGUUAAAGUUGAUGCUAUGUAAACUAAUCCAGAGACAUAGUACACCUUCACUUCUGCAAAAGGGGAUGGAUGUUUUUCUAGAAAGUAAUUAAGGGGAAAACAAGCCAAUGCUGGAUCAUAUUGUAUGCAGUGUUUUAAACAUGAAAGCAAAUACAUUUCUCCCUGAACCUUAAUACUUAAAAGUGUUCACUCUUAAUAAUUCACCCUGAGUUCCAAAGGAUCUCUGAGUAACCAAGGUAGUAUGACAGCACUCUGAGUAACCAAAGUAGUGACCUUUAUACAGUGGGAGGGACUGAACUGCCAUAGAACUGCAUGUUGGCCACCACCGCUGUUGACUUGUUCGCAGCUGAGCAGAGUUGGAAAUAUUAGUACCAGCACCCUGGGAGAGAAAUUCAUGUGGCUGGUCCUUAUCUGUUUUUCUGCCAGUGAGUAUUAAUGGGCCUGAAUGGCUGAUGCAAAUAAAUACCCAGUCUGGAAUACACAUUUUUCCAGGACAAACCACACAGAAAAGAUGUUUGAAUGUUUUUAAUAAAAACAUCUUGCUAGCUCAGAACUUCUUAAAGAGAUCCAGCUUUCUUAUGGAAAGCAGCCCAAGGUUCUUAGAGAAAAUCCUGAAAGUUGGAGAAGUGUUAUUCUUUUCCUUGAUCACUGUUAUUUUGCCAAAGAACAUGCUGGCUGUCAUUUUCAAGAUGAAAUGGAGUUCUGAUCAUAUGCUCCCACCAUUCUAUGGGCAAUUUAAAAAAUUUGUUUUCCUUUGAUAGUAAGACAAGCACUUUUCUUACAACGGUUCCAUUUCAUAAGGGCUUUAAGACAAAAGUAUUAAUAAAUGAGGAUUAAAGGGAAAAAAUAGCAUAAAGAAAGCGUGUGAUUGUGUAAUAAAAAUUUAACUGCUUCCUACCGUAGCGACAAGAGCAGAGGAAAAUCUUACUUGGUUACCUGAUUUAAAAAACAGAGUUCUGUAGGCAAAGCUCAGUUGUUCCUGGCCCUGAGAAUAGAGGUAAGUUUUCUCAUGGUUACUCUUCAAUAGGGUAUUUGGGGCUUUUCUCUUCAGUUUCCUCAAAUGCCUCACAGAGACUAUCACCAAGUUGUAUAGGACUGCUUUGAAUAACUUCUUCAUGGUUGGCAUUUUGCUGCAGUUUAAUUCUAUCAAGGAAAAAGAAGUAACCUCCAGGCAAUUGUCCAUUUCUUCUACUCGUUUCAACUGCACUUUUUUGAAAUAAUUGAGAAGCAGAGUUAAAGGUUACAUCUGAUGAACACAAGGAAUACAGCUCUCUUUGACAGAUGUGAAAGGAUACAGCCACGGGCCAAAUCACUCACCAAACUGAGUAGAGAUGAUACCCUUAUCAAUAUAAAAAGGGAGCCCAAAGAUUUGGUGGCCAGAAGAGAAGACCACUCGCCUCUGCAUGUAGAAGGGCAAGAGCAUCGAAGACCAUGCAGAAAAUGUGAAGAGGAAAAAGAAUAUGUCCCACAGUUAUAGAAAGGACUCUCUCAUAUGAACCAGAGAUGGUAGCUGAAACCAAAGAAAUGACUGCAGUAUCUAGCUAAAGGCAUGGCCUAGGAAAUGAGGAGGAUACAACUCAAUGGAGGGAAGAGACAAGCAAGACAUGUGGAACCAGGUCGGGACGUGGGGAAUGUCGGAUUCCCUGUUGUGAGUAUGAGCAUGUAAAGAAGCUUGCCAAGCACAAAACCCCAAGGUUUAGAUCUUGUGUGAUAGGUUUGCAGUGAUUUGUGCUGCAGGUACACCAGCCACGGUUCUAAAGCAUCAUGUGCUUCCCUGAUUGGUAGUUCAGGGAUCCUUCUCUGAAUUUCUUAAGGAUCCUUCUCUGAAUUUUCUUCAGCGCAUCAGCAGUAACACUCAAGGGAUGAGACUCGUCAUCUUCAGAUAUUUGGGAUUUCUCCUGCAGCCCAGUUGAGAAUGGGUCACCUGAAAAUGAAAUUGUAAGACAGGAGCAGGGGGAACUCAUUGCUAUUGAGAAAGAUCCUGAGUAAACUUUCCCUCUUUGCUCAAGGGAUGGCCUGAGUUUAAAGGGUUGCGGAGAACCCUGUUGCAGAAUAAUAUUUUAAAUAUAUUAAUUUGUUUUUUUCCCUUUGGGAGCUAGUGCCGGUUGCCUUUGAUCCUCCCCACAACCCCAUUCAGGUAUCAUUUAUUGUAUCAGGAAAAAGGCAGUUAAAACACAGAUCGGGAAGAAAAGCCUUUUGGUGUUUAAAGACCCUGAGCACUGGAGUUAGACACUUGAACUUUGUCUUUUUGAAACUUUAUCUUGUCUUAGAAACUAUGAGAUGAGUUGGAGCAAGGCUUCUAGUCCACGUAGGGCAGGAGGAUUUUGAGUGGGUGCUGUGAGGAGAGGGCUGAUCGAGGAAAGAAAGAGCUGGCAAAUGCUUGUAGGGACAAGGGCACAGUGGGCAGAGGGGUAGAGAAAAUGCAGAGAGCACCCUUAGACACUGUGCCCUUCUCUUCUCGGAGAAGCAGACUCUGCAGAGAGGAGAGUAGCGGAUGACAGGAACAGAAGUGCCCAAAGAAGCUACAGAAAGGUGGGCAUGGCACAGGCAGACAGUCUGAAGUGGCUCCAGGGAGUUGACCACGCAAGGGCUCGGCAUGCAGACAUUGUGGUGAGUCUUCUGAGCUCCGGAGUGCCAGCGGAACAGUAACAAAGGAAUCCCCACUGUCCUGCUGAGCGUGUGGCCGAAAAGCAGUAUUAUAAAGUCUCCAUGCCAACAGCUGAGAAGAGCGUUAGGCCAGCUCAGUAGCACCAGCUCAGUAGCAAAGAUCUACUAGAAGUAAGGCCAUCUCAGUCGAGCUGGUGCAAAGGCAGCGUCACACAAGGCACACGACAUGCCUGUCUCCGCUCCCCUGUACAGUGUGAGUCCCCAGUGACCCAGUGAGAACGGCAAGGAUGCAGAGUUGAGCAAAAUCAUGGUUAUAACAUGAAGGUAGGCCCCAGACAGAUGAGUCAUCUUGGAAAAAUAAAGUUAUGUUCCUUGUACAAUUUAUAGAAUGAAAUGUGAAUUCAAACACAAAAGAAACCCGUCAAUAAAAUUAGAAAAACAUUAGAUAUAUGCGACAAAACGAUUCAGCUCCUCCUUAUUGGAAUUCCAGAGCAUUUUAUAUAUCCUAACCCAGAGCUUGACAAUGGCUUUGUAGCUAGGUCCUGUGCAACCUCCUGGGACCCUGGGUAUUGCUCAUUCAACUCUGCUUAUUAUCUGCUGACUUUAUAUUGGGCUCUGUAAGCUUUCAUGAUUUUAUUUAAUCCUCGAAACAAUAGUUGUGAGAUUAAUAUGAUUCCCAUCUUACUAUUAAUAAAUUUAAGAUGAGAAGGGGGAAAUUUGAGAGUCCUAGUGAUUCUGCAGCAUCUCCCUUGUGAUUUUUGGUCCCCGUUUUUGUGGAUAAUGCUACGCUCUUCCUUCCUUUUUCUCCCCCAGCCUUUUCCUUUUUCUUGUGCAUUCUUUGCCCUUUUCAACCUCUCUACCUUUGCUUAACUUGCUCCUACUUUGUAUUCUGCUCUUCCCCCCUGCCUUCAUUUUUUUUUUUUACAUCAUCCCCAUUUUCUAAAGCACAAUGCACAUUUUGCCUUCUCCCAGACACAUUUCCAGCUCUCUGUUAUUAUUUUACCCCACUUCCUGUUACUUCAGUCCUUCACCCUUCAUUUUAACUCUAUCAAAAUCAGCUUGGUAUCACAGGUGCCUCGGUAAGCUGGUGUCAGCUGCUGGGUUGUGACCCCCAGAGUGUUCCGUCUUCUGCGUCCAUGGCGCCUACCACUGAUUCAUCAUCUAGACUGCAGCUGCUUUGUACCUGGGAUAUAAAACAGCCUUAAUACAUAUUUCUCAAGUGAAAUUGAACUGAAAACUCUAAAACACUGUUAGUGAAGCAUGACACAGAUGCUUGAACAGAUGUCUAACUGAAUAGUCUUUGAUUCCCUCACCGCUUUUCUUCUUUUUCUCCAAGUUAUUUCAAUUUUUUUUUCAAACAUACAAAACAAUUUAAAGAGUUACUUAGUGAAAACCCAGCUAGUGACUUUUCAGCUUCUAGAAUAUAUGCCCUAGUAUAUUGAUGUUAUCUAUCCUUCUAUUUAUCCCUCUAGCCCGCCUCACAGACUUGAAUGCAGCCAGUCUUGGGGAGACCUUUGAAAUCGGAUCUGGAAUUAAUUUCUGCAAUCAGCCCUUACUCGUUGUGGGACCUUGGCAGUGUUGCUUAACUUACAUCUUUUUCUCCCUGUGUAAAGUGUCGGUGGCCAGCAAGGCCUACUGCCUAGAGUGUGGUGAAGAUUAAGUGAGAUUGUGUAUAUAAAGGGGCUGGCACAUGGUCUGUGUUUAGCACCUGCUAGCAAGAAGAAAAGAACAGCAUAGAUAUUUCAGCUAUCAGCACUGGUUUGCAAUGAUAUGUUUUUGGUAUUCUUGUCUGCAGUCUCUGUUUUAGGCCCAAAAGAAAAGGACGCUGAUAGAAGAGAAUCAAUCUUAGACUCUUUGGUUAUAAGCUAGAGGUGACUGGAUCCACUCAGUGGUUGAUGGCUAUAAAAUGGAACAUGGGCUGAAAGGAAAAGAUUGGGAAUCUUUCAAAACUACCGUAGGUUGGUCAUAAAAUAAAAUAAGGACAACCUAGUGGUGACCAGGAGACUCAGUGGUGAGGUUUCCACAGCCAGCUGGGAAAGCAAUGCUGGGGUCCUCAGGAGCUUGGAAAUGCCUGGCACAUGAACUAGGGAAUCCAACUUGGGUUGUUGGGUUUGCAAGGCAGGCAGCGGAACCACUGAGCUAAAUCCCCGGCCCUACGAGGCCUUUUGGAUCAGCGAGCCUGACGCUAGCCACCAGGUGACCACAGGAGCCCAAGACGGAUCCACUGGACCUGGCCCAGAUAAGCAGAACUUCCCUGCUGACCUCCACUGUAAGAAAGGCUUUUGUCUUUCGGAAAUGACAUGGCCCACCUGCCUGGAAGGGGGUACUGUAUUUACUCCUCACAUUGCUGACUUCUGGAGGAAAAACUGUCUUGAGAAGAUUUUUGAUGUGGCAAAAAACAGUGUUCUUUCUGAAAGAAUAAACAGAGGCCUCUUUUUUUGGCAGAAUCUUGCUGUGUAGUCCAGACUGGCCCUGAACUCUGACUUAACCUGUGCCUUGGCUUUCCCAAGCUUCAUGCGUAUGAAGAUGGAAACACGAAGCACAGAGUGGUUAACUGGCUCACAUGACAUCACAGGUUCAGAGUGAUUAUGAGCUAAGCAGCUUCCUCCACCAUGUGCUCCGGCUGUAUGCGCUGCCUUGCCACAGACCCAGAUUCAGUGGGGCCAACUGAUCAUCCCUGAAGCCUUCAAAACCAAAUCUAGAAGACAAAGUUUCUUACUUUCUCACACUGUGACAGCAAUGCCCAACACCCACACCUUAAAGGAAGAAAGGAUCUCCAUUUUGGGGGGCAUCUCAGGAGAGAUGGAGCCUUCCCCCAGCCUGAGAGGAUGAAACAUAAUUUACUUACGCCAAGUAUGGAAACCCCAGUCCCCCUUUCCUGUGAUUAAUUUGGGUUUAGGCAAAUAAUCUAGUUCUAUUCAAUAUAACCAAAUGGACAGUCUAUUGGUAGGUUCUUCUCAGAAGACUUUUGUUUUCUGUUGUAGAAGAAUCAUGAAUUUCUUUCCUCCCUGACUAACUGUAGUUGUAUGAGAACAUGGUACUUAAAGCUGUAACAACCAUUUUUGUUACCAUGAUGAAAGAAGUCAAAGACAAAGGAUCCAAUAAUAGAAUGGAGCAUGGGUGAUACCACUGAACUGCUGAACCAAUUUGGAAAUAUCUGCUUCUAGGCUUCCCAUGACUUGUGAAAUGAAGAAGACUUUCUGUUUUAACCAUUUCUUUUCUGUUGCUUGAAACCAAACAUAUUAUAUAUGACUUACUAUCCAACUUAUUUCAUCAUUUUAUCUAUUUUUAAUGUUGUUUUAUUGAUUGAUUUUUAUAUUUUUAGCAUUAAGUAUAAUCCCAGACCUUAGUAAGACUGCAAUAAAUGAAUGAAAACUGUGUUAGGUGAUAACAAUUUUAAGAGUUGUAGAAUUAUAAGGGUCAGAAUUUAAUUUCGGGUUCUUUACAAUUUUUGAUUGUUUUUCUGCUCUUUUUCUCUACCUGAUUCUACUUUUACUGGAACAAAAAAAUGAUUAAAAUGAACUAUCAAAAAUGUCUAUACACGACAAAAACACAGAAUAUUAUCUGUUGGUAAAUAAAUAAUGACUAGUCACUGUUGCUAAGAAAUUUCUCUUGAGAAUUUCCAGAAAGUCUCAUCAGCUGCAUUUAUACCUAAACCUCUGGUGAUCAGUAUUUCAGUGACUCAAAUCAGUGUACAUAAAGCAGUGAAAUAUUUAAAGGAAUACUGCCUUAGAAAAUCUUAGAAGAUGUGCCUGUUUCUUAACAAUUUAUUUAAUAUCUUCUCUCUACUGGACAUUUCACUGCUCACUGUAGAUGAAAGAUGAACAAUCACAUAUGUCCUUUCCUUAAAAGCCCAUGAGGCCAAAGCAGGGCUGGUGAUUCACAUGAAGGUACUGCCGAGUCUUGGAUCCAGUUCUCUUAGGGUAGAACAGAGCUACUACUCAGUUAAUGAAGAAAUCAAAUGCCUAGAUAUUACCUUGUGACAUAGAGUCCUUGAAAACAUCCCAAGUUUGGUCCUUCCUAGCCAAGAUUGCUUUGGGAAGUGACUUAUGCUAUCACCUUCAAUUCUCAGCACUUUCCCUACAUUCUCCAUAGCAACCUCUUGCCAGGGUACCCCCUGCACGAGUCACCCAGCAAAACUAUUUCAGAAGGGGAACAGGUUUGAGGGCUGGGUUUUUUCUGAGUGGAAGGAUUAAAAGUAGGGCCUUGCUUCCCUAUGGAUGAGCAAAAAUAAAGAAAGUACGUAUGAGACCCCAUGCUCCUUCUUAGCCAGCCAUGACUUCUGAAGGAGACCAGAGCUCUGGCAGAGUAUCAUUGGUCCACCAGUCUCAAGGCUUCUUCUCAGUUCCACAUGGACCAUAAAUGCACCAAGUUACCAAACUUAAAGCUAUUAAUUUUAUCACUGGUUUGCUGUCUUAGGGUUCACUAGAGGAACAGAUUCUACAUAAAAUAUGCAGUGGCCACCUGUGAAAUCAAGGGUGUGAGAAUACAAAAUGUCUGCCUACCCUGGAGGCCUGGAGGAUCCUGUUGAAGAUCAAAGGCCCAGAGCUCAUUGUAGAGUUCAGUAUGGGUCAUUGUUAGAAACCCAAAGGGUCUAUAUUUGAAAACGAAAGAGUCUGCCCUGGAAGCCUCAAGGAACUGAAGAUGAACAUCCAAAGGGAAGGGCAAAGAGUGGAGCUCCUUAAAGGAAACAAGAGAAGACUUCCUUCUUUUCUUUCGUAUUCUGUUCAGCCUAUAUGCCAGUUGGUUAGUACUAUCCAUAUCUGUAGUGUGCCUUUCCUCCUUAUUUUGGUCUACAUAUCAGUUAUCCUCAGAUAUGCCCAGAGCUUUACUGAUAUGCUAGGUGUUUCUUACUCAAGUCAAGUUGACAUAUCUCAAUUAAUGAUCACAUCUGCCUUUUGUAGAAAUCGCUGGCAAUUGAUACUUCUGUCCCUCUCUCCUAACAUAUGAGCCUUCACAUCCUCCUUUACACAUUUUUGUGUAUUCUCCCAUUACCAUACACCUAGAGAUAUCCUGGCUUUCUGUUAGUUGUUCCAUGUAUAUUGUCCUUCCUCCAGAGACACUGGUAUGAGAUCCUGACGUCUUGGGAAUGCAUCCCAGCUGUUCCACUUUAUGCUGUUGGAUUCACUCAUGGCGACUCCCUGUGGCUCAGUUUCUGCCUCUAUGAAAUGAAGAUUUACCACCCUUUCUUCCCCCAUUCCCAUGGGCUUCCAAUUUGUGAGUGUGCCCCACACAGACACAUAUGUGUGGACCCACGAGCCUGGCCAUCAUGAUAUUUCAGACUCGUUCUGCAGCUGGGCCUAUGUACUGGGUAAAAAGCCAUCAAAGUGUACCUAUUAUUGAUGCCUACAGACUAUGCUUCAAUAAAAUAUUUACUGAAAAGUUUUUGCAGUUAUGUCCCACCCACUGAGCUGGACAGGGCUUACUUUCUCACUCUGCUGUCCCCCAUUUUAGUUUAGAGAAUUACAUGUGCAUAUACAUUUAUUUUAGAAAGCAACAUGAAACAGCAAACAAAUGAAAAUUAAAGACAUCGCAUGCCCUU
Long non-coding RNA from Fukomys damarensis (Damara mole-rat), 9732 nucleotides. RefSeq lists it as uncharacterized. The transcript has 11 exons. The record is from RefSeq and is a predicted model, not a curated record. NCBI's taxonomy places the organism in Eukaryota, Metazoa, Chordata, Mammalia, Rodentia, Bathyergidae.